CAGUGAAGCCCCCAGCUCAGGGCCUGGCACAGAGUGGGUGCCACCACACACCAGGAGUGUGCCCUGGGGCACAUCAUUUCUCUAGGCCUCCAUUUCCCCACCUGAAAAGGAGGCUCUGAGAGCCCCAGUAAUCACGCAGGUGGUUUAAGGCACACGGAGUGCAGCCUAGCAGCUGGCACCUAGCAGGUGCUUGUUAAUCAUCAGCUGACAUUUACAGAGGGCUUCCUCUGUGCCAGGUGCUGUUUGUCUCAAGUUGUUGAACACUGUUCUAACAUCGGUCUCUGAACACUAAGGGUCGUUCCCGCCAUCAUCUCGCUGUACAGAUGAGGCCGUGCCGCUGUCAAGUGGCAGAGCUGUGUGUGAGGAGUUGGCCCGGCAGCCAUGUAACCAAGCUUCCUGGAGUGGAGAUGACCUCUCUUUAGACCCCCUUGGGUGCCUGGCAUGCAGUAGGUGUACACUGGGGUUUGCUGAAUGGAAUAGAGGCUGUGGAACCCCAUGCGCCACCUGGGAUCCUCCGGGUAUGAGGGGGAAAGGCCUGGGCCCUGGGUUCCUUUGGGGCAGAACAGGGCCCCCUCCCAGGCACCCUGGAUGGGUGUGGCCUUUGCUCCUUUUUUCAGUCUGGUCUGUCCCACCCACUGCCUGCAGUGUGGCCCGCAGUGCCCUGAGCAGCCCAGCCUCUCCUCUCCGGCAGGGCCUUGGCAACCCAGCCCUCAUUGGCUGCACGUAUCCUUGGAGACGAGGCACCAGCAGUGCAAACAUAGGCUGUAGGAUAUUUCCUCCCUCCCCCGCCCCCUUGCCCUCACUGCCAUGAGGGAUCUAUUCACCUCCCAGAAGCAAGCCUGCACAUCCGGAAGGAGACUGCCGCCCACGUCGCCUGGAACAUCAGCUAUGGCCACAAGCACCUGAAGGAGGGACUCUUGCCCAGGAAGCGGCUCCAAAAGGCCCCCUUCAGGGGAAUCCAUGAAGGACACCAGGGCUCCAGCUUAUGCCAGGUUCCAGCCCAUCACAAAGAGCUUUUACAUCAAAAGUAGCAUCUUCCAUGUCCCACGGCGAACAGACCAGUGGAUGUGAAUUUGCUGGGGGUUCAGAAGCUGCUCCUUCCUUUUCGUGUGAUCUGUCUGGACCCUGAAGAGCAGAGACACUGCCAGCCCCACCCUCCCUCUGUUCCGUUCAGCUCUGCCAAGCAGGGAGAGUCACGAGUCCUACUCUAAGCACAGUGCAGUCUGAUGUUCCAGCAGGCCACCUGCCACAUGCUGAUCUGGGGACCCAGGCUUCUCCCAUCUGGUGGCUCUGCCAUCUCCUAGGGCCUCAGAGUCCUUCCCUGAGUCCUCUACACCCAGCUGGGGGAUGAGGGAGGAGAGACAGAGGGCCUGGAGAGAACAUGCCUACCCUUGACCACCUUGGCCUGGAGCUGACAAAGGUCACUUCCUGUCACAUCCUAUUGCAGCAAGUCUGCAAAGCUGCUUAGAAGAGGACAGGCUGCUACCAGGGCAGCUUUUCGCAGCUGGGAUUUUGCAAAUAAAUUAAGUCUUUUGGAACAUG
Molecule: long non-coding RNA, 1542 nt
Organism: Balaenoptera musculus (blue whale)
Lineage: Eukaryota; Metazoa; Chordata; Mammalia; Artiodactyla; Balaenopteridae
Exons: 4
Source: RefSeq, a predicted model, not a curated record